RNAcentral lists this ribosomal RNA (236 nucleotides) under uncultured bacterium. Its description in RNAcentral is "partial 16S ribosomal RNA". It matches the Rfam family "Bacterial small subunit ribosomal RNA", at positions 96 to 334 of the family's 1533-position model. The record is from RNAcentral.
UGGCGGACGGGGGAGUAAUGUCUGGGGAAACUGCCUGAUGGAGGGGGAUAACUACUGGAAACGGUAGCUAAUACCGCAUAACGUCGCAAGACCAAAGAGGGGGACCUUCGGGCCUCUUGCCAUCGGAUGUGCCCAGAUGGGAUUAGCUAGUAGGUGGGGUAACGGCUCACCUAGGCGACGAUCCCUAGCUGGUCUGAGAGGAUGACCAGCCACACUGGAACUGAGACACGGUCCAG